Molecule: long non-coding RNA, 666 nt
Filed under: Medicago truncatula (barrel medic)
Lineage: Eukaryota; Viridiplantae; Streptophyta; Magnoliopsida; Fabales; Fabaceae
Description: lncRNA gene10468
Source: RNAcentral
UUUUCUAUCAAAACAAACUAAGUACGCUUCAGACGAAGGAUAUUUUGGUACUUUCAUGCAGAGGGUAUAUAACUAUCACAUGGCUAAAAGUUUUCAUUUUGAGAUGGACUUUCUCUCUCUAGGUUAGAGAAAAUCAGAAUUGUGCUCUCCCUCCUCUUUACCUCACGCCUUCCCUCUCUCCCUCUCUUCUCCAAUCCUUCCAAAACUACAUUCCUAUGACGAUUAUGUUUAAGUUGUGGUUCCCUCAUGAUCAUGGAGGUUUGUUAUAGCUUGGGUUAACUCAUUUUCCAUCUUGAUCCUCAUAAGAAGAAACUCAAGAAGCUUGGGUUUGGUUUGGAAAGAAGUUGGAAAUUGGAACUUAAAGCUUGAAGCUUACGAUGGAAUCAGCUGUUCAUAAGUGAUUUCUCUAGAUAGCUCUUUCCUUGGGUUAAUGUGUGUAAUUGGGUGAGAGUCUAUAUUAUGCUAGAUUUAUGAAUUAGGAAUGUAGUGACCCAUAUGUGCCAUAAAUUGCCAAAAACAUGUUGAUUGUUGCCAUGCAUUCCAAUUUAUACUGUUUUUAUGUGUUCUGGAUGUAUAAUGAGCAUUAGGGACUUGAAAUUGAGGUUUGUGAUGCUAAAACACGUUUCUGCAUUUCUGGAACUAAAGAAACACGCCAUAAGCAAGUAA